This 492-nucleotide ribosomal RNA is filed under the name uncultured bacterium. RNAcentral describes it as "partial 16S ribosomal RNA". It matches the Rfam family "Bacterial small subunit ribosomal RNA", at positions 30 to 523 of the family's 1533-position model. The record is from RNAcentral.
AUUGAACGCUGGCGGCAUGCUUUACACAUGCAAGUCGAACGGUAACAGGUUAAGCUGACGAGUGGCGAACGGGUGAGUAAUGCAUCGGAACGUGCCCGAUCGUGGGGGAUAACGCAGCGAAAGCUGCGCUAAUACCGCAUACGAUCUGAGGAUGAAAGCGGGGGACCGUAAGGCCUCGCGCGAUCGGAGCGGCCGAUGUCAGAUUAGGUAGUUGGUGGGGUAAAGGCUCACCAAGCCAACGAUCUGUAGCUGGUCUGAGAGGACGACAGCCUCACUGGGACUGAGACACGGCCCAGACUCCUACGGGAGGCAGCAGUGGGGAAUUUUGGACAAUGGGCGAAAGCCUGAUCCAGCAAUGCCGCGUGCAGGAAGAAGGCCUUCGGGUUGUAAACUGCUUUUGUACGGAGCGAAAAGGCCCUCUCUAAUACAGUGGGCUCAUGACGGUACCGUAAGAAUAAGCACCGGCUAACUACGUGCCAGCAGCCGCCGUAA